RNAcentral lists this long non-coding RNA (3152 nucleotides) under Homo sapiens (human). RNAcentral's name for it is "HSALNT0319384". The record is from RNAcentral. Lineage: Eukaryota; Metazoa; Chordata; Mammalia; Primates; Hominidae.
GAGAAGUUAACUGUUAUUUUGAACUCUGAAUCUCAUAUAGACCAGUGUUCACUUUAUCUUACUCUCUCUCUCUCCUCUCUCUCACUCUCUGUCUCUGAAAUUUCUUCAGAUUUUUUAUUUGUUUCUGGUGCUCUUACUUUUCACAAUGUUGGAACUUAUUGAUGGUUCUGUCUGUGUCUAUUGGGCUGGACAUGCUUUAGGAUCUUUUAUAACCUGUACUCAGUUUGAGUAGUUUCUUGGGUUGAUUCCGUUUUGAUUUUCUCAUUUCUUUGGAAAUUUAUAAUUUUAAAAUUUUGGACCACUGAGAACAUUUUUAAAUUGUCUUAAUCUAACUUUCCACUUCUAUUCUUUUGCCUAUUCUUCUUAGAUAAUUUUUACACUUUAUUUUCAAGCCCUUCUAUUAAUAUUUUUAUUUCUGCUGUGUUAUUUCUAAGACUUACAGAUUUUAUAAUGCUAUUUUUUAGCAUCUCUCCUAUUUUGUGGAUAUGUCAUCUUUUCUCUCUGAAUAUGAUAAUGAGGCUUUCAUUUGUUUUCUAAGUUUUUAUAUCCCUAGGUAUUUACUGUUUUGAUAAUUUUUUCUUCCCUGUUUGUUUGCUUUGCUUUUUUCUUCCAAGAUAAAGCCUGGAAGCUGCACGUCACCUGCCAGCUUUGUGUGUGCCCAGUGAGUGCAGGUGGCAUAAUGACCAGCGGUGACUUGAAUGACAAGGGGACAGAACAGCUGGACAAUCCAAUUCCUAGAUGCUUUCUCCAGUUAUGGCCCUGACUGGGAUCUCCGAAGAAUGACUCAGCUGAAACUAUUUCAUCAUUGCCUACAUUUGUCUUCAGACGACCUGCAGUACAAACUUGGCUUAAACCUGCAGUUGACAAUGCUGAAUCUCCAUGUGCUCUCUCUCUCUUCUAACAUCAAUGCAGCUCCUGGUAUGUGGUCGUUCUCAGGCCCAAAGGCCCAUUUUGCUUUUGGCUGCAACUCUGUAACUCUGUAACAGAGACCAAGUGCCUGCAGGGAGCAGAUGUUUGGGGCAGUAUCUGCUAAGGUGGCUUUGCUGAAACUUGUUUCUCUCAUUGGGUCUUGGAAGUGGCGAAUAGGACGUUCCUAUAGAAAAACUCAGAAAGAGACUGUGAAAGAUAAUCUUAAAGAGGCACUCACGAAACACAAGCUCCUUCUCCGGGAAAAAGAAUCAUCACCCUUGUUAUCCCAUGAAAAUUCAUCUUCUCCUUUUCAGCUGAUAUGAGGACUUGAUCUGUCCUUUCCUAUAAGUGCCAUCUGUGUUUAAAUGAGGCUGUUACUCUAACUCAAAGCAGACUUGCAAGAGUAAAAUAAUCAAUCUUCAUCAUAUUGCUGCACUUUCGACAGUUAAUUUUCUAGAGUAAUUUGUCAUUGUGAGGAGCAUAAGAUUUGUCUGAAUUUGUGUCAAAGGUUAUUGACUGAAUUGCCACCUCAUCUUUUCAGUCAAUCUAUAAAUAUGGGCAAGUUUGGGCAGAGGCUAAUGGCCUUCUCACUAAGGGGAUGAGAUUGUCCAAGUUAGGCAACUGAUAAGAGGUAGAAAUAUCUAUUGUGUCACCCAUUUCUUGUGGUAGCAUUGACUUAGAGUUAAUCUCAGAAACUUCACUUAACCUUCUUAAUCCUUUUCUUCCUGUAAAACAAGGCUAAAAAUUGUCAUAACUAUAUUCUAGUUUCCACAAAAGCUAAUCUAAGUAUUAAAAUUUUUAUUGUGACUUUGUGAGAGUGAUCCUGUAUUUUUCACAAAACUAAGAAGAAAAUAUUUUUAUUUAGUGUUUUUCUAUGAAUAGCUUUUGGUUUUUGGAAAAACCAUCUGAUCUUUAUUACUAAGAUUCUUGCUUCUUAGGUCAAAUUCUUGUUCCCUGUCUUUAUAUAGAGUCUAAUAUUGGGAACAUACCCAAGGACCACAUGGAUAAUUUUAUGAUGCUUGCUGACUAUUAUGUUUCUUGCCCACUUUAAUAGCCUAAUAAUAAUAGUUACGAAUUCUUAUUGAGAAAUAGCCAUUCUUAAUCAAUGCCAAUGACAGUGUUUCCUCUUUCAGACUGAAGGAAAAACAGGGAGAAAACCAGUUCAUAUAUUAUGGUUAAACACUGAUAAAACAUUUUGGUUAAAUAUCUGCCUUCAUGGGUUAUUGCAAAAUAGAUUAGUUUAAAGCUCAUCUAGCCCUGAAAUAUACAGUUAGAUUAUUUUUUAUGGAUUUCAAUUAUUUUUAUUUCAUUACAGUUAUUUUUUUUUCAAUACAUGGCCUGUUUGAAGAUACAUCAUAGUAAUGGUAACAGCAGCAACCACUGCAGUAAAUAACUGACAAUUGCUGAACAAUUCAUGUCUGCCAUGCCAUGCUAUGAGGGCCUUAAGGAAUAAAUACAACUUAUAUUCAUAAUAAACAUAGGAGGUUGUAGAAGGCUAAAUAAUGGGUCACCAAAGAUACCCACAUCCCAUAAUUCCUGUAACUGGUGACUAUGUUACCUUGCAUGGUAGAAGGGAUUUUGCAGUUGAGGUUAAGGUUAAAGACUUUAUAAAGGCAGAUUAUCUUGGAUUAUCUGGGUGGGUCUUUAAAAGCGGAAGAGAAAAGCAGAAAAGCAAGUCAGACAGACAGAUGCAACUACAGAAGAGACAGUAGGGACUCAACUCAAAUGACUAACUUUGAAGAUGGAGGAGGUGGUCCAUGAGGCAAGGAAUGCACUUGCUUCUAGAAGCUGGGAAUAACCCACAGCUAGAAGCAAAGUAGGAAAUGGAAGUCUCAAUUCUACAUCGUAAGGAAGUGAAUUCUGCCAAUAACUUGAAAGAGAAGGAAAUAGAUUCCCUCCAGAGGCUCUAGAAAAUAAUGUAUCCCUGCUGACACCUUAAUUUGAUUUGAGCCCCAUGAGACCCACGUUGGACUUCUGACUUAUGGAGCUUGUAAGAUAAUAAAUUUGCAUUGUUUCAGCCACUACAUUUGUGGAAAUUUGUUACAACCACAAUAGGAAACUCAUAGAAUAGUAAUCACUAGUAAUAUCUUCAUUUAACAGUUGAGGAAAUUGAGGCAGGACAACACAAGUUAUAAAAAUUAUCUCAGUUCUUAGUAGAGUUCCUGGCAUAUGACAAGCAGUUAAUGUCUUUGUAGAAUGAAUGAAUGAAUAAAUAAAUAGAUUUUUUCUUAUGCUUUCCCAAA